This 433-nucleotide ribosomal RNA is filed under the name uncultured bacterium. RNAcentral's name for it is "partial 16S ribosomal RNA". It matches the Rfam family "Bacterial small subunit ribosomal RNA", at positions 29 to 507 of the family's 1533-position model. The record is from RNAcentral.
AACGAACGCUGGCGGCAUGCCUAACACAUGCAAGUCGAACGAGACCUUCGGGUCUAGUGGCGCACGGGUGCGUAACGCAUGGGAACCUGCCCUUAGGUUCGGAAUAACUCCCCGAAAGGGGUGCUAAUACCGGAUAAUGUCUUCGGACCAAAGAUUUAUCGCCUUUGGAUGGGCCCGCGUUGGAUUAGCUAGUUGGUAGGGUAAAAGCCUACCAAGGCGACGAUCCAUAGCUGGUCUGAGAGGAUGAUCAGCCACACUGGGACUGAGACACGGCCCAGACUCCUACGGGAGGCAGCAGUGGGGAAUAUUGGACAAUGGGCGAAAGCCUGAUCCAGCAAUGCCGCGUGAGUGAUGAAGGCCUUAGGGUUGUAAAGCUCUUUUACCCGGGAUGAUAAUGACAGUACCGGGAGAAUAAGCUCUGGCUAACUCCGUG